This 443-nucleotide ribosomal RNA is filed under the name uncultured cyanobacterium. RNAcentral's name for it is "bacterial SSU rRNA". It matches the Rfam family "Bacterial small subunit ribosomal RNA", at positions 338 to 795 of the family's 1533-position model. The record is from RNAcentral. Lineage: Bacteria; Bacillati; Cyanobacteriota.
CCUACGGGUGGCAGCAGUGGGGAAUUUUCCGCAAUGGGCGAAAGCCUGACGGAGCAAUACCGCGUGAGGGAGGAAGGCUCUUGGGUUGUAAACCUCUUUUCUCAAGGAAGAAUGCAAUGACGGUACUUGAGGAAUAAGCAUCGGCUAACUCCGUGCCAGCAGCCGCGGUAAUACGGAGGAUGCAAGCGUUAUCCGGAAUGAUUGGGCGUAAAGCGUCCGCAGGUGGCUUUGUAAGUCUGCUGUUAAAGAGUCACGCUCAACGUGAUAAAAGCAGUGGAAACUACAAGGCUAGAGUGCGUUCGGGGCAGAAGGAAUUCCUGGUGUAGCGGUGAAAUGCGUAGAGAUCAGGAAGAACACCGGUGGCGAAAGCGUUCUGCUAGGCCGCAACUGACACUGAGGGACGAAAGCUAGGGGAGCGAAUGGGAUUAGAUACCCUUGUAGUC